Molecule: unclassified non-coding RNA, 420 nt
Filed under: Hevea brasiliensis (rubber tree)
Lineage: Eukaryota; Viridiplantae; Streptophyta; Magnoliopsida; Malpighiales; Euphorbiaceae
Source: RNAcentral
GUCUCAACAUCUCAUUGUAAGUUUCAACACUAGAAUAUUGGAUAUAGAAGUGGCUUUCUAUGCGGCCAAGCUCUGUACAGUAGAAGUUGCCACUUUUCUCAUCAAAACGCAUCAUUUUAGCUUUGUCAAGUGCACGUGCAGCAUCUGUUAUAAGAGCUCUCUGCUUUAAACUCAAAGAAGGAUCUGCAAUAACCUCAUCCCAUCCAAUACCAUAUGCCAAAGGAUUCUGCCUCAUCCUGAUGAAAAGGUAGGUAUACCCGAGCCAUGCACAGGCUUCCUUGACAUUAGUGACAGUACCCAAUGCCACUUCUGCAUUUAAAUUAUCUUUUAAGGAGCUAAUAAACUGACUUUCUAUGGGAAGUUGACUUGUCAGCAAUCUUAGAUAGUAGGCCAGUUUGUCAUGAGACGUGAUUAUAAUGC